CGAAAUUUGUAGACAAGGGACCCUUGAAUAUGGUGGAGCAGCAGCCUCUAAGGCAAGGUAUUCCAUACGGUGAAGCAGCUGCCAAAACAAGUGGCUGGUGAAAGAAGGAAACAUCAUGUUAGAACAGCACAAGGAGUGUAUCAACUUUUAUGAGACAAUGGGGCUUCUCAGGGAAAGGGGCUGUCCCCACCAGAUUUGAACUGAGAAGAUGGGUAUCAGACAAUGGGGCUUCUCAGGGAAAGGGGCUGUCCCCACCAGAUUUGAACUGAGAAGAUGGGUAUC
RNAcentral lists this unclassified non-coding RNA (282 nucleotides) under Hevea brasiliensis (rubber tree). Lineage: Eukaryota; Viridiplantae; Streptophyta; Magnoliopsida; Malpighiales; Euphorbiaceae. The record is from RNAcentral.